RNAcentral lists this microRNA precursor (64 nucleotides) under Medicago truncatula (barrel medic). Its description in RNAcentral is "MIR5291 microRNA precursor family". It matches the Rfam family "MIR5291 microRNA precursor family". The record is from Rfam by way of RNAcentral. Lineage: Eukaryota; Viridiplantae; Streptophyta; Magnoliopsida; Fabales; Fabaceae.
GAUUAAUUGAAUCCAAUCCAUUAGCAACGUUUUUGUUUGAUGAACGGAUUUGAUGAAUUUUAUA